Molecule: non-coding RNA, 48 nt
Filed under: Echinostoma caproni
Lineage: Eukaryota; Metazoa; Platyhelminthes; Trematoda; Plagiorchiida; Echinostomatidae
Source: RNAcentral
GCACUGCUGACGAGUCCCAAUUGGGAGGACAAAACAGCUGUCCAGUAC